AAAAUGUUCAUACCAAUUUUUAACUCCAUAAAAGCCGAUAUUCCUUACAGAAGAUUAACCCGAUAAACCCUCGCAGUGAUUGAAUGAAUUGAACGGAAUGCUCGACGAUUAUUCGCAAAAAUCUAUUUUUAUAAAAUAAAACUACAUAACUACAUUAUCAAGUCGACUUACUACUACAUGAAUUUUAACGCAAGUUGCUAAUUACGAGCAAGCGCCCAAGAAAAAAGGUACAAAAAAGGAAGAAUGAAUUCAGAUUAACUCUGUAACAUUCAAAGUUAUGUCGAUAAAUUUUACAACACGAACGAAUCCGUUUCAUUUGUAAACAUGGGUAGGUUAGUAAGCGGUUUCCGCUAAAUCAGCGAUAAAGUGAAUAGUUGCUAGAAAGAAAGCAAGAAAGUAAAAGAGAUUUUCAAGAGACUGCUAAAUGAGAAGGGAGAUAGAAAAAUAAGAUGACAAGGAAUAUCACGGGAGGAUAAAUUGCAAGCAAAAAUGAAUGCAAAGGCAGUAUAAGAAGUGUCCGAGCAAUACACCUUGACAGAUAAUAAAUGAGAGAAAAGUUUAACUCUGAAGAAAGGGGGUUUUCAAAGGUGAUGCAGUAAGCAACCGACUUUGCACUAUAAACAACUCUGGUAUGCUCUCAUCUACUGAAAUGAUAUUACUUGUGUGCAAACAGCUUCAUAUCCAACCGGUGAUAGUACUGAUCAACACGUAAACAACGUAUAUUGGUGAAUUCAGCUCAUAUAUCUGAAGAGAGCGAAGAGGCAGACGAAAUCAUAAAGGCGUUAACAAACAAUAGCAAAGGAUGAGCCUUAAGAUUAAAUAAUAGACAAUAGUCAAAAGUCCCAAGAAAAUGCGUUUACCAACGGUUCAUAGAAAUACUGCUACGAAUACGGUUGUAGUCCAACAAACCCUCAAUGGAACCAACAGCAGAAACAGCAAUGUCCUUGUCCCAAAUCAUCUCGGAAGCAACGCGGGCUACAUCUUUUUCAGUGAUUUGACCGAUACGGAGAUCAACCUCUUGAGGGCUCAUACGACGACCAGUUGUAAGCAAUUGGCGACCAAUGUCCUCUGCAAUGGCGGUCGUUGAAUCCAAAGAAAGUAAAAGCGAAGCACGGAGUUGUGCCUUGGCACGUUCAACCUCAGCACGAGUUGCAACGGUUAAACGAGCCCAGUUUUGGAGGGUAAAGUGGACGAGAUCAUCAAUACGGCCAAGGUUCUCAGUGACAAGAUAAAUACCCCAAAGUCCAGUAUCACUAUAACUAGUACUGAAACUCAUGAAGCUAUUGGCAAGUUGAUGUUGUUGAACAAUAGUACUAAGACGAGAAGACAAAUGGGGAGAUGCUCCCAUAGCACGGUCCCAGUUACCAAUGAUGGCUUGCAUGACUAAUGCAGUAAAGUAAUCUGGGUGUUUCCAACUCAUACCUUCAACAGCAAUGGCAAUGUUGGCAGUUGGUGAAUCAUCGUCACGAG
Non-coding RNA from Schizosaccharomyces pombe (fission yeast), 1470 nucleotides. Lineage: Eukaryota; Fungi; Ascomycota; Schizosaccharomycetes; Schizosaccharomycetales; Schizosaccharomycetaceae. The record is from the annotation of a GenBank genome assembly.